This 717-nucleotide ribosomal RNA is filed under the name uncultured marine bacterium. RNAcentral's name for it is "bacterial SSU rRNA". It matches the Rfam family "Bacterial small subunit ribosomal RNA", at positions 36 to 799 of the family's 1533-position model. The record is from RNAcentral.
CUGGCGGCAGGCCUAACACAUGCAAGUCGAGCGCACUCUUCGGAGUGAGCGGCGGACGGGUUAGUAACGCGUGGGAACAUACCCUUUUCUACGGAAUAGCCUCGGGAAACUGAGAGUAAUACCGUAUACGCCCUUUUGGGGAAAGAUUUAUCGGUGAAGGAUUGGCCCGCGUUUGAUUAGAUAGUUGGUGGGGUAAUGGCCUACCAAGUCUACGAUCAAUAGCUGGUUUGAGAGGAUGAUCAGCAACACUGGGACUGAGACACGGCCCAGACUCCUACGGGAGGCAGCAGUGGGGAAUCUUAGACAAUGGGCGCAAGCCUGAUCUAGCCAUGCCGCGUGAGUGACGAAGGCCUUAGGGUCGUAAAGCUCUUUCGCCAGGGAUGAUAAUGACAGUACCUGGUAAAGAAACCCCGGCUAACUCCGUGCCUGCAGCCGCGGUAAUACGGAGGGGGUUAGCGUUGUUCGGAAUUACUGGGCGUAAAGCGUACGUAGGCGGAUUGGAAAGUAUGGGGUGAAAUCCCAGGGCUCAACCCUGGAACUGCCCUGUAAACUAUCAGUCUAGAGUUCGAGAGAGGUGAGUGGAAUUCCAAGUGUAGAGGUGAAAUUCGUAGAUAUUUGGAGGAACACCAGUGGCGAAGGCGGCUCACUGGCUCGAUACUGACGCUGAGGUACGAAAGUGUGGGGAGCAAACAGGAUUAGAUACCCUGGUAGUCCACA